This 62-nucleotide transfer RNA is filed under the name Polyplax serrata (house mouse louse). Its description in RNAcentral is "tRNA-Leu". Lineage: Eukaryota; Metazoa; Arthropoda; Insecta; Psocodea; Polyplacidae. The record is from RNAcentral.
UUUCAAGUGGCUACUGCCAUAAUUGAAUUCUAAUUUCAAUGCACUUUAUCUGCCAACCUGAA